This 253-nucleotide ribosomal RNA is filed under the name uncultured bacterium. RNAcentral describes it as "partial 16S ribosomal RNA". It matches the Rfam family "Bacterial small subunit ribosomal RNA", at positions 524 to 776 of the family's 1533-position model. The record is from RNAcentral.
UACGUAGGGUGCGAGCGUUGUCCGGAAUUAUUGGGCGUAAAGAGCUUGUAGGCGGUUUGUCGCGUCUGCCGUGAAAUUUCGAGGCUCAACCUCGAACUUGCGGUGGGUACGGGCAGACUAGAGUGUGGUAGGGGAGACUGGAAUUCCUGGUGUAGCGGUGAAAUGCGCAGAUAUCAGGAGGAACACCGGUGGCGAAGGCGGCAUCCUGGACCGGCAUUGACGCUGAGGCGCGAAAGCCAGGGGAGCAAACGGG